GUCCACGAGGGAGGGCCAUGGGAGAGGUUGCCGAGAGCAGGGCUGGCAACCUGUUUGGUCCCUGGCAGCCCCCAGCGUGGCCCAGAAGGACCUCCAACAGAUUAAGGUUUAAACAGAAGAGGACUGGACAAUCUCAACAGAUACAGAAAAGGCGCGUAUGCAGAAGGAACCUGUUACAGGCUGAGCUGCGUUGCCCUCAAGUUCAAGCCUUAACGUCGCAGCCCUGGUCCCUCCGCCCUCCGCUGGCCUCCCCCCCAGGAGGACCCCACCAACAGGGUCCCACUGAAUAAUUACCCUCGGGAUGUGAUGGGCUGACACUGCCUCCUGACGUCGACGGCUGAGAAAGAUGCUCUUUUUCUAUCCCUCAAACGGUCAACUUUUUCGUUUGUUUUUGUUUGUUUUUGCUUUUUUUAAGGCCGCACCCCAGACACAUAGAGGUCCCCAGGCUAAGGGUUGCAUUGGAGCUACAGCUGCCUGCCUACACCACAGCCUCAGCAACGCCAGAUCCAAGUCGCGUCUGAGACCUACACCACAGCUCACAGCAAUGCCGGAUCCUUAACCCACUGAGCAAGGCCAGGGAUCGAACCUGCGUCCUCGUGGAUGCUAGUCAAAUGGGUUAACCGCUGAGCCAUGCCGGGAAUUCCUGGUCGGUCAAAUUUCCUCACUGCUCUUUCUUUUUCAAAGUCCUGUGUCUGCUGGGGUGACCUCACGGUAAUUUUCCUAUGGAAGGAGGCUUCUGAGAGGAUAAGGACUCUGACACCUGUUUAGAGAGAGGGGUUCCUGAUUCUGGGGUCCGAGGAGGGCUUCCGAGGGUCUGGGGACCACCUGCAAUUGUCCAGCAAACAAUGCGUCCACGCACACGGAUAGGCAUCUAUUGUCCCCCAAGAAAGGGAGUCGCUAGUUUUCAGCAGAAGUUCAAGGGGAAUCUGUAUCCCAGAGAAGAGUAGCAAAUGUUCACGGAGAAGCAGUGGAUACCCGAGGUCCCUGGCCUGGAGCUCAUGACCCCUUAGGGUCUAUGGAGACAAUUCAGGAAGCCCAGGAGCUGAGACCAGGUCAAUUUCGAUCUUUAGUUCAUAGCUAUUUCUCCACUCUAUUAAAACCGUUGCAGGUAUCUCGAAAUAUUCCUAGCACUCUUCAUUCCUCAGAAAUUAUGGUGUCUCUAUCACAUCUUUCUGGACUCCACGUUGGUACUCCCCUCCCGUAAGGGAGAAAAACCCCUAUAGGACAAUGUGGGGUGGGGAGGGCUCUUCUUCCGCCUCCCAGCUGUCCUGGGAGCUGUUGCUUUCCUGUCAUAAAGACUUCGCUUGCUUAAAAAAAAAAAAUCCAGAAAUCGUGGUGGUUUUAAACCAGCAACUAUGCUGUCUUUAAUGCAUUAAUAAAGAAGCUCAUAUAC
This 1393-nucleotide long non-coding RNA is filed under the name Sus scrofa (pig). RNAcentral describes it as "lncRNA (ENSSSCG00000035507.3)". Lineage: Eukaryota; Metazoa; Chordata; Mammalia; Artiodactyla; Suidae. The record is from RNAcentral.